This 434-nucleotide ribosomal RNA is filed under the name uncultured bacterium. RNAcentral describes it as "bacterial SSU rRNA". It matches the Rfam family "Bacterial small subunit ribosomal RNA", at positions 340 to 786 of the family's 1533-position model. The record is from RNAcentral.
UACGGGAGGCAGCAGUGGGGAAUAUUGGACAAUGGGCGAAAGCCUGAUCCAGCCAUGCCGCAUGAGUGAAGAAGGCCUUCGGGUUGUAAAGCUCUUUUAGUGAGAAAGAUAAUGACGGUACUCACAGAAGAAGUCCUGGCUAACUCCGUGCCAGCAGCCGCGGUAAUACGGAGAGGGCUAGCGUUAUUCGGAAUUAUUGGGCGUAAAGAGCGCGUAGGCUGAUUAGUAAGUUAAAAGUGAAAUCCCAAAGCUUAACUUUGGAAUUGCUUUUUAAAACUGCUAGUCUAGAGAUUGAAAGAGGAUAGAGGAAUUCCUAGUGUAGAGGUGAAAUUCGUAAAUAUUAGGAGGAACACCAGUGGCGAAGGCGUCUAUCUGGUUCAAAUCUGACGCUGAGGCGCGAAGGGCGUGGGGAGCGAAACAGGGAUUAGGAUACC